RNAcentral lists this ribosomal RNA (465 nucleotides) under uncultured bacterium. Its description in RNAcentral is "partial 16S ribosomal RNA". It matches the Rfam family "Bacterial small subunit ribosomal RNA", at positions 28 to 507 of the family's 1533-position model. The record is from RNAcentral.
GACGAACGCUGGCGGCGUGCUUAACACAUGCCAGUCGAACGGAAAGGCCCUGCUUGCAGGGUACUCGAGUGGCGAACGGGUGAGUAACACGUGGGUGAUCUGCCCUGCACUUCGGGAUAAGCCUGGGAAACUGGGUCUAAUACCGGAUAGGAGCCAUUUUUAGUGUGAUGGUUGGAAAGUUUUUUCGGUGUAGGAUGAGCUCGCGGCCUAUCAGCUUGUUGGUGGGGUAAUGGCCUACCAAGGCGGCGACGGGUAGCCGGCCUGAGAGGGUGGACGGCCACAGUGGGACUGAGAUACGGCCCAGACGCCUACGGGAGGCAGCAGUGGGGAAUAUUGCACAAUGGGCGCAAGCCUGAUGCAGCGACGCCGCGUGGGGGAGGACGGCCUUCGGGUUGUAAACUCCUUUCGCUAGGGACGAAGCUUUUUGUGACGGUACCUAGAUAAGAAGCACCGGCUAACUACGUG